Molecule: ribosomal RNA, 465 nt
Filed under: uncultured bacterium
Lineage: Bacteria
Description: partial 16S ribosomal RNA
Rfam family: Bacterial small subunit ribosomal RNA
Source: RNAcentral
GACGAACGCUGGCGGCGUGCUUAACACAUGCCAGUCGAACGCUGAACCCGCUUCGGUGGGGGAUGAGUGGCGAACGGGUGAGUAACACGUGGGCAACCUGCCCCCGGCUCUGGGAUAACUCCAAGAAAUUGGGGCUAAUACCGGAUGUGACCGCUGGCCGCAUGGCCUGGUGGUGGAAAGGGUUUCCGGCUGGGGAUGGGCCCGCGGCCUAUCAGCUUGUUGGUGGGGUAGUGGCCUACCAAGGCGACGACGGGUAGCCGGCCUGAGAGGGUGACCGGCCACACUGGGACUGAGACACGGCCCAGACUCCUACGGGAGGCAGCAGUGGGGAAUAUAGCGCAAUGGGCGGAAGCCUGACGCAGCGACGCCGCGUGGGGGAUGACGGCCUUCGGGUUGUAAACCUCUUUCAGCAGGGACGAAGCGCAAGUGACGGUACCUGCAGAAGAAGCACCGGCCAACUACGUG